CCUACGGGAGGCAGCAGUGGGGGAUAUUGCACAAUGGGGGGAACCCUGAUUCAUCUCUUCCUCUUUUGUGAAGGAGCGUUUCGGCGCGUAAAGCCCUAUCGGCAGGGAAGAAGGAGGACGGUACCUGACUAAGAAGCCCCGGCUAACUACGUGCCAGCAGCCGCGGUAAUACGUAGGGGGCAAGCGUUAUCCGGAUUUACUGGGUGUAAAGGGGGCGCAGACGGCAGCGCAAGCCAGGAGUGAAAGCCCGGGGCCCAACCCCGGGACUGCUCUUGGAACUGCGCGGCUGGAGUGCAGGAGGGGCAGGCAGAAUUCCUGGUGUAGCGGUGAAAUGCGUAGAUAUCAGGAGGAACACCGGUGGCGAAGGUGGCCUGCUGGACUGCGACUGACGUUGAGGCCCGAAAGCGUGGGGAGCAAACAGGAUUAGAUACCCCUGUAGUC
This 441-nucleotide ribosomal RNA is filed under the name uncultured bacterium. RNAcentral describes it as "partial 16S ribosomal RNA". It matches the Rfam family "Bacterial small subunit ribosomal RNA", at positions 338 to 795 of the family's 1533-position model. The record is from RNAcentral.